RNAcentral lists this ribosomal RNA (698 nucleotides) under uncultured bacterium. RNAcentral's name for it is "bacterial SSU rRNA". It matches the Rfam family "Bacterial small subunit ribosomal RNA", at positions 141 to 850 of the family's 1533-position model. The record is from RNAcentral.
GGAUACCCGAGGGAAACUUCGGUUAAUACGGUAUAAGACCACACUACCGCAUGGUAGAGGGGUAAAAGGGGCAACCUGGUAUGAGAUGGACUCGCGUCGCAUUAGCUAGUUGGUGAGGUAACGGCCCACCAAGGCGACGAUGCGUAGCCGACCUGAGAGGGUGAUCGGCCACAUUGGGACUGAGAUACGGCCCAGACUCCUACGGGAGGCAGCAGUGGGGAAUAUUGGGCAAUGGAGGAAACUCUGACCCAGCAAUGCCGCGUGAAUGAAGAAGGUCUUCGGAUUGUAAAGUCCUUUAGUCAGGGAAGAAGUCAAUGACGGUACCUGAAGAAUAAGCUCCGGCUAACUACGUGCCAGCAGCCGCGGUAAUACGUAGGGAGCAAGCGUUGUUCGGAAUGACUGGGCGUAAAGGGUGCGUAGGCGGUUGUACAAGUUAGAAGUGAAAUACCCAGGGCUUAACUCGGGUGCUGCUUCUAAAACUGUAUGACUUGAGUGCAGUAGAGGUUAGUGGAAUUCCUAGUGUAGCGGUGGAAUGCGUAGAUAUUAGGAGGAACACCAGAGGCGAAGGCGGCUAACUGGACUGCAACUGACGCUGAGGCACGAAAGUGUGGGGAGCAAACAGGAUUAGAUACCCUGGUAGUCCACACUGUAAACGAUGGAUACUAGAUGUAGGAGGUAUCGACUCCUUCUGCGUCGCA